CUGGCAGUUUUCGUUCUUCAAUGUGGCGGCUUAGCCAAGCUCCAUCAUCCCUCUCUCGCAGUUUAUAGCUUCUCUCGGUUAUCCUGCAUCGGAAAUGAUUUAGGUAGCUAAGGACGGAGAAACGGGAAGAAAAUUUGGCCUUACUGAUGCAUUUUGGGGUUCUGGCACGGUGGCGCCAGCAUCUCUCUAGCGGCUAAACUCUCCUCUAGCUGCCCUUCUUCUUCUUCUUUGGUAACCUUGUGUCGGCUAAGUUUUGGGGCCGACUGAAGAGAGAUUUAAAUACCUCUCUUCCCCUUAUCCUGAUCGUUCAUUUGGGUCGAUGUGGAGUAAAGAAGUCCGUUUGAUCGAGCUUAUUCAGAGAAUCGAUCUGGACCCUCCGUUUAAGUUUGUGUGGUGCAACAGUAGUAGUUCGAUCGGGCUUAUAUGGGAAACUGAUCUAUGUUGCUCACGCACGGGGGGAGUGGACACGAGCCAUUCGAUCUUCCUGGCACGUGGAUUGCCAGUGUAUACUUCCUGUGUAUAGCACAUGUUGAUGUGGCCGCCAUGCGGCGUGCAGCAAUUCGCUGCGCUACUGACAGGGCAUCCACGUGGCCCAUUUUUUUUUCUUUUUGUGAAAUGAUUCUUGUUUUUGAAACAUGUUCAUCUUUAUUUACCGUUUGAUCAUAGUU
Molecule: long non-coding RNA, 668 nt
Filed under: Carica papaya (papaya)
Lineage: Eukaryota; Viridiplantae; Streptophyta; Magnoliopsida; Brassicales; Caricaceae
Description: long non-coding RNA (CPAP_LNC003521)
Source: RNAcentral